Molecule: long non-coding RNA, 1868 nt
Organism: Callithrix jacchus (white-tufted-ear marmoset)
Lineage: Eukaryota; Metazoa; Chordata; Mammalia; Primates; Cebidae
Source: Ensembl
AUGCUGUUUGUGGCACGCAGCCUUUUUCCAGGCGCCGCCCCUGCCACCGUCUCCACCUUGUACCUGUGCGGCAGCAGCUGGACAGCGCCAGCAUCGCGGCUCCCCAGCUGGGCAGACGAAAGCGCAUGCGCAGGCGGCCUGUCACAAGCGCCAGCGCUGAGCCUGGACUCGCGUCACAGUAACAGCCACCAGUUGCCUGGGGAACGAUCACAGUGGCUUCCCAAAGCAGCGGUCCUCUGUGGCAGUGCCUCAGCAUCGGGCAACGGACUCUUUCUCCGCGCGAUCAUCGCUGAGUCCUGCGAUUUUAGGAAUCCGGCAGGCCGAGCCAGGCAGAAGAAAGAUCUGUCGGGGCUUCAGGGAUGUCCACGGCGCUCCCCAGGAAUCACCAAGUUGCUGCAGACCUGCCCAAACAGUGUGAGGGUGCCUCUCGUUGAAAGCCCUCGUGGCUGGGAUUUCCAGGUGGCAGCCAGACCCCACUACACUGAGGCUUUGAACACCACCAGGAAAAAGAAGAAUGCAGGGCGCCGCAGCCCCAAACUGAGCCAAACGUUGAUCAGCAGCAGAAAGUCAAAGCAACCUGGAUGUAUUAUGCAAAUUUCAGGCUACAAUGGGCACAUCCUUCUCUUCCUGGAAGGCUGACUUUAAUUGUCCUGCACAAUCUGAAUACAGCAUAUUUUCUCUUUUCCUAUACUACGUAAGCCCUAAAUCUUGGGGUAACUGCCUGGAGAACUACUUAAGUUGCUACAAUUCAAGAUCAUGCUUCUGUUCAUAAAUUCCCCACAAUAAAUUACCAUUUACUGAAAAAUUGGAUUUGUCUGUCUCAUUCUUUGGUUUCUUGAUGCCUUCUGUGUUGGGGAAUCCCUUUGAAAAUAUGGCACUUUUUAUAUUACUAAUAUAAAGCAAGAUAUAUUAGUCCAUCCUCACACCACUAUAAAUAAAUACCUGGAACUGAGUUUCCUUGGCUCACAGUUCCACAGGCUGUACAGAAAGCAAAGUGCGUUCUGCUCAGCUUUGGGAGAGGCCUCAGGGAGCUGAAAAUCAUGUUGGAAAGGGAAGAGGAAACAGAGACAUCUUUUCUGGCUGGAGCAGGAGGAAGAGGGAGAAGGGAGAGGUGAGACACACAUUCAAACAACUAGAUCUUGUGAGAGCUCUCACUAUCACAAGAACAGCAUGGGAGCGAUGGUGCUGAACUACUCAUGAGAAACCACACCCAUUAUUCAAACACCUCCCACCAGGCCUCACCUCCAAUACUGCAGAUUAUUAUUAGAUUUGAGAUUCAGGUGUGGACACAGAUUCAAACUAUACAGUGGCUUGUGGGUAUGCCUGGAUUUUGGUAAUCACAGCUAUUGGCAAAACUUGUGUCUUACUUAACCCAUCAUGCCCAGGAAUGUUAUGGUGCCCCCUGGUCCCUGGACUUUCUGGGCCCUGGCCUAUCCUCUGGAUUGUAAAUGCUCUAAGAGUUCUGGGUAGGUUUCUGAAAAAUACUUAAGUCUGUGGAGAGUAAAAGAAUAUUAUCCAUACAGUGUUCCCAGAGAAUGAGGGGUACAUCACUCCAAAAUGUCUCACUUCACUCUAAAACAUGCCAGAGAGGUGGGCUGUUGGGCUGAGUAACUUUCACUGGGAACAACUAAAAGGUACACUGUUGUUCUUCUCAGCUGAAGGCAAAAAGGUCCUGGGACUUUGAGUCUAAACUUAUGCUGCAGAAAGCAUUUGCCAAUGGCAGGACUGUGCCAUAGACCUGAGCAACUACUUAGUUUUUCCAGGAUUUGAGCCAUUUGGGGGAUAGCAGCACACAUGGCCAGAGUCACCUUAUUCAGUUCCCAAUAAUCAAUGAUCAACCGUCAUAUUAUCCCAAUAAUCAACUAUCA